UACGAAGGGGGCUAGCGUUGCUCGGAAUCACUGGGCGUAAAGCGCACGUAGGCGGAUCUUUAAGUCAGGGGUGAAAUCCCAAGGCUCAACCUUGGAACUGCCUUUGAUACUGGGGAUCUCGAGUCCGGAAGAGGUUGGUGGAACUGCGAGUGUAGAGGUGAAAUUCGUAGAUAUUCGCAAGAACACCAGUGGCGAAGGCGGCUGUCUGGUCCGGUUCUGACGCUGAGGCGCGAAAGCGUGGGGAGCAAACAGG
This 253-nucleotide ribosomal RNA is filed under the name uncultured bacterium. RNAcentral describes it as "partial 16S ribosomal RNA". It matches the Rfam family "Bacterial small subunit ribosomal RNA", at positions 524 to 776 of the family's 1533-position model. The record is from RNAcentral.